RNAcentral lists this ribosomal RNA (254 nucleotides) under uncultured bacterium. RNAcentral describes it as "partial 16S ribosomal RNA". It matches the Rfam family "Bacterial small subunit ribosomal RNA", at positions 524 to 775 of the family's 1533-position model. The record is from RNAcentral.
UACGUAGGGGGCAAGCGUUGUCCGGAUUUAUUGGGCGUAAAGCGCUCGCAGGUGGUUCGAUGCGUCGUGCGUGAAAGACCCCGGCUCAACUGGGGAGGGUCGUGCGAUACGGUCGAACUGGAGGCCAGUAGGGGGAUGCGGAAUUCCGGGUGUAGUGGUGGAAUGCGUAGAGAUCCGGAGGAACACCAGCGGCGAAGGCGGCAUCCUGGACUGGUCCUGACACUCAUGAGCGAAAGCGUGGGGAGCGAGUACCG